This 301-nucleotide ribosomal RNA is filed under the name uncultured bacterium. RNAcentral's name for it is "partial 16S ribosomal RNA". It matches the Rfam family "Bacterial small subunit ribosomal RNA", at positions 509 to 807 of the family's 1533-position model. The record is from RNAcentral.
CAGCAGCCGCGGGAAUACAGAGGGUGCAAGCGUUAAUCGGAAUUACUGGGCGUAAAGCGCGCGUAGGUGGUUUGUUAAGUUGGAUGUGAAAUCCCCGGGCUCAACCUGGGAACUGCAUCCAAAACUGGCAAGCUAGAGUAUGGUAGAGGGUGGUGGAAUUUCCUGUGUAGCGGUGAAAUGCGUAGAUAUAGGAAGGAACACCAGUGGCGAAGGCGACCACCUGGACUGAUACUGACACUGAGGUGCGAAAGCGUGGGGAGCAAACAGGAUUAGAGACCCCCGUAGUCCCUGUCUCUUAUAC